AACCGUACCCUACUCCUGCCUGCGGCUCCCACUCUCGUGGCUCGCCCGUGCGGUGCCGGAGCACUCGGGGAUGCCGAGCUGCCCCCAUGGGCGGAGGAGGGGGCGGAGGAGGGGCAGGGCCAGCCAGCCCAGCCCAGCCCAGCCCGCCUGCCGAACACCUGGCAUCCGCACGGAGCCUCGGUCCUGCCCCGGUCCUGCUGCACCGGCGGCUCCCACCGGCACGGGCGGCCGCGGGGUCCAGCGCCCGUGUUUAGAAAGCGCUUCCCUGCUGCCAUCUGCAGAAAUCGAUCCCAUCGCUUUUUGUUAUUCUCCAAUCUAACGCGUCCUUGUCGCCCGAGCCGCCGGCAGCACGGCCGCGCGUUAAGCGCCGCUCGGGGCCCAGGGGCUCCGCUUUACCUGGAGGCUCUGGCGCUUCGCUCCGCCCGGGCACCGAGCGGCGGCGGGCCCGGAGAUGCGCCGAGGAGGGGGAGAAGUUGGGCUGCCCCGAGCCCUGCGGUUCCCAACCCCGGCCGCGGAGGGAGGGUGAGGGGGACACAGCCGCUGUGCUCCCCCCGACCGUCCUGGCAAGCGCCUGCUAAAACUGAAGCUCCAGAUAGGAGGAGGGAGGAGGAUCCGCGGCGCAGGGCGCAGCGGGGGAGGCGGCUCCCGCAGCCCCGCGGCACAUCGCCGGCUGGAGGCUGCGGGAUGCUGCUCCGGGGCUGCGCUCCGCCAGCGAGCCUUAGGUGUGGGGGUCAGAGCCCGCCGUGCCGGAGUGAUGGUGCAUUUUCCUCCGGCUCCGUCGCGGGGAUGGUGGGAUGGUGCCGCAGCCCGAGACCUUGGCCGCUGCCUGCCGAGGCUGGGCAAGAUCUUCCCUCCCUCUCUUCUCCCUCCUUUCCCCGCAGUGCUCGUUUCUUCCCCUCGUCACCUCUCCGGCCCUGUGCCCGCUCCAGACCCUGGAGUCAUGACGGGGUUUUAUUUUCCGAACGUCGCAGCCGCGCGUGAUUAAACACCGGCACCGGGGUGCGCGGCUGGCAACUUCAGCGGCGCCCGGGCGUGUGCGGUCCGUGUGCGCGGAGGGUGUCACGGAUGUCCCUGCCCGCGGGCGCGCUUGCCACCUGCGGCUCGGCGCCGGCCGGAGCCGUGCGCGCACAUGUCUGGGCGCGGAGGGGCGCGGAGNNN
Molecule: long non-coding RNA, 1158 nt
Filed under: Parus major (Great Tit)
Lineage: Eukaryota; Metazoa; Chordata; Aves; Passeriformes; Paridae
Description: lncRNA (ENSPMJG00000000473.1)
Source: RNAcentral